AACGAACGCUGGCGGCGGGGUUUAGGCAUGCAAGUCGAGCGAGAAAGGGGCAACCCGAGUAAAGCGGCGUAAGGGUGAGUAAUAGGUAGUUUACGUAUCCAUGUGACGCGGAUAAUUUCCCGAAAGGGAUUGUAAUACGCGAUGAGACCACGCCCGAUCCGUCGGGAGGGGUCAAAGGUUCGGGAUCCUUCGGGACCGAGCGCAGAUGGAGCGGACGACCUCCGAUUAGCUAGUUGGCGGGGUAACGGCCCACCAAGGCGAUGAUCGGUAGCCGGCCUGAGAGGGCGCACGGCCACACUGGAACUGAAACACGGUCCAGACUCCUACGGGAGGCAGCAGUGGGGAAUUUUGCGCAAUGGGGGAAACCCUGACGCAGCAACGCCGCGUGGAGAUGAAGUCCCUUGGGACGUAAACUCCUUUCGACCGGGACGAUAAUGACGGUACC
RNAcentral lists this ribosomal RNA (445 nucleotides) under uncultured bacterium. Its description in RNAcentral is "bacterial SSU rRNA". It matches the Rfam family "Bacterial small subunit ribosomal RNA", at positions 29 to 479 of the family's 1533-position model. The record is from RNAcentral.